GUCAGGGGGCGGUGCUGGGCGGGAAGGCACCGCCUCAGCGCUCCCGCUCCGCCAUGGGGUCCGCCCUGAGGUGACAGGCGGGCGGCUCGGCUCCUAGUACCCGCAGCUGCGAGGAAUGUCGCUGAAUGACUUGAAAUAAAACACAUGUAAGAGCUGAGCCAUAACUGGUAGUUUUUGAAGUUGAUAGACGCGCUAAUCAGGCUGGAGCCUUUCGGAAUGCAGCCGGCAGGGAGUAGUCUGUCAGCGCCUUUCUCCGUUCCCCAACAGGAGGUGUGCUGAAGGAAGGCUGCUUUGCUCUUGGCCGAUGGACUAAAGUAAACGUACAGAAAAUGGUGCAUGCAGUCAUCGUUAUCGUCCGCGGCUAAAGAUGAUAAGAGUCGUUUGGCUUCGGUUUAGACAGCCUGAACCAAAUUGAGAAGAAGCUUGCUCAAUUACCCCUCAAAGUAACAAUGGCACUCUUGUUACACUACUGCAGUUGUACACAAAUAAAUA
This is a long non-coding RNA of Cygnus atratus (black swan), 492 nucleotides long. RefSeq lists it as uncharacterized. The record is from RefSeq and is a predicted model, not a curated record. Lineage: Eukaryota; Metazoa; Chordata; Aves; Anseriformes; Anatidae. The transcript has 3 exons.